GGAUGUAGAGGAAAGUGGCGGACGGGUGAGUAACGCGUGAGGAACCUGCCUUGAAGAGGGGGACAACAGUUGGAAACGACUGCUAAUACCGCAUGAAGCAUAGGGGUCGCACGAUCCUUAUGCCAAAGAUUUAUCGCUUCAAGAUGGCCUCGCGUCUGAUUAGCUGGUUGGCGGGGUAACGGCCCACCAAGGCGACGAUCAGUAGCCGGACUGAGAGGUUGAACGGCCACAUUGGGACUGAGAUACGGCCCAGACUCCUACGGGAGGCAGCAGUGGGGAAUAUUGGGCAAUGGGCGCAAGCCUGACCCAGCAACGCCGCGUGAAGGAAGAAGGCUUUCGGGUUGUAAACUUCUUUUAAGAGGGAAGAGCAGAAGACGGUACCUCUAGAAUAAGCCACGGCUAACUACGUGCCAGCAGCCGCGGUAAUACGUAGGUGGCAAGCGUUGUCCGGAUUUACUGGGUGUAAAGGGCGUGCAGCCGGGUCUGCAAGUCAGAUGUGAAAUCCAUGGGCUCAACCCAUGAACUGCAUUUGAAACUGUAGAUCUUGGGUGUCGGAGGGGCAAUCGGAAUUCCUAGUGUAGCGGUGAAAUGCGUAGAUAUUAGGAGGAACACCAGUGG
RNAcentral lists this ribosomal RNA (618 nucleotides) under uncultured bacterium. RNAcentral describes it as "bacterial SSU rRNA". It matches the Rfam family "Bacterial small subunit ribosomal RNA", at positions 81 to 715 of the family's 1533-position model. The record is from RNAcentral.